ACGUACAAAAAAAACCCAACAUAAUACAGAGACAUAUAGUUUGUCAAGCAUUGAGAUCUGAUCUCUACAGUACUAGCAUCCCGUUUUGAUCUAGUUUGUAUGCGUGUAAAUAUCGGUAGAGGCACGACGUUUGGAGUGCUACACAAUCUUGUUUUUUCUGUUUAUCUUUCCGCUGCAGGUAUAUUCUAAAUUUGAUGACCUAGAUUCAAUUUAAUAUUUGCUUGAGAUCUUGGAAACAGAAUUCAUGAUUAAUUUUAUAAAUCGUUAUAAAUCGGUAUGAAUUCCAACAUCAUAAGGUUUAUACAAGAUGGAUUAGGUCUUUUUUUUUUAAAAAAAAAAAAACAAGAUGGAUUAGGUCUAGCUAAACUUGGGGAACAAGCUAACAAAACCUAACAAUAUUGUUAGCCCAGUCGUCUUCGGCUCAUAGCGAGUUAGCGACAUCCGGUAACAGCUAUUUCAUCUUGGUUUGGUUAAAGGUUUAAUCUCGGUUUAUCUCUGGUUCAAGAAGUUGGAAUUGAUUAAGUGAUUUGAAGUUGGAUUUGAUUCAAGUGAUUAGAACUAAGCAGCCAAGGCCAAGAGCAAGCAGGAAGGAGUAAGUUGGAUUAGAUUUAUAUAUGGGCUCCGAAUAAACUGAAAACAGGCCCAAAAGAAACUGCUACCAAGUCUGUUAGAAGAAUCGAAGCAACAGAGUACUUUUGUUUUGAUUUAUAUAAAACGAAACAGAGGACUUCUUCUUCUUCUUCUUCUUCUUCUUCUUCUUCUUCUUCUUCUUCUUCUUCUUUCUUGUACUCUUGUGAUCUUCUUUUAUAUGGAAAUUUUGUAAUGAUUACGCCGAUCAAUAACUCUUUACAAUACAAUUACUAUAUCCACUUCUCCGCCUCUAUUUACGAUUUGGACUUUAAAAAGUUCAAGGGAAACAAAUGAUUACAUAAAGGUUUUUUUUGCUACGAUGAUAACAUAAAGUUAUUCACCAUUCCUCUGAUUAUAUCUUUAUCACUUGCUAUAUAUAUUUUCAAGCUUCUCUUUAUAUACUUGAUGAGUUAUCACAAGCUACAGUAACACUCUUCUCUUUAUAUGCUUUGAUGAGUUCCUGUAUCACACUUCUUCACUCAAGAUGUUGUUGAUUUCUUUGUUCAAUGGUGGAUCAG
RNAcentral lists this long non-coding RNA (1148 nucleotides) under Eutrema salsugineum. Its description in RNAcentral is "long non-coding RNA (ESAL_LNC001802)". Lineage: Eukaryota; Viridiplantae; Streptophyta; Magnoliopsida; Brassicales; Brassicaceae. The record is from RNAcentral.